This 404-nucleotide ribosomal RNA is filed under the name uncultured bacterium. RNAcentral's name for it is "bacterial SSU rRNA". It matches the Rfam family "Bacterial small subunit ribosomal RNA", at positions 355 to 776 of the family's 1533-position model. The record is from RNAcentral.
UGAGGAAUAUUGGACAAUGGAGGAAACUCUGAUCCAGCCAUGCCGCGUGAGUGAAGAAGGCCUUCGGGUUGUAAAGCUCUUUUACCCCUGACGAUAAUGACGGUAAGGGGAGAAAAAGCCACGGCUAACUUCGUGCCAGCAGCCGCGGUAAUACGAAGGUGGCAAGCGUUGUUCGGAUUUACUGGGCGUAAAGAGUGCGUAGGCGGUUUGAUAAGUCAGGAGUGAAAGCCCAGGGCUCAACCUUGGAAUUGCUUUUGAAACUAUCUUACUUGAAUCCGGUAGAGGUUGGCGGAAUUCUCAGUGUAGAGGUGAAAUUCGCAGAUAUUGAGAGGAACACCAGUGGCGUAAGCGGCCAACUGGACCGGUAUUGACGCUGAGGCACGAAAGCAUGGGGAGCAAACAGG